CGUGUAGGCGGUUCGGCAAGUCAGAGGUGAAAUGUCCCGGCUCAACCGGGGACCUGCCUUUGAAACUGCCGGACUUGAGGCCGUGAGAGGAGACUGGAAUUCCUAGUGUAGCGGUGAAAUGCAUAGAUAUUAGGAAGAACACCAGUGGCGAAGGCGAGUCUCUGGCACGGUUCUGACGCUGAGGCGCGAAAGCUAGGGGAGCGAACG
This 207-nucleotide ribosomal RNA is filed under the name uncultured bacterium. RNAcentral's name for it is "partial 16S ribosomal RNA". It matches the Rfam family "Bacterial small subunit ribosomal RNA", at positions 568 to 774 of the family's 1533-position model. The record is from RNAcentral.